This is a long non-coding RNA of Olea europaea var. sylvestris, 540 nucleotides long. RefSeq lists it as uncharacterized. NCBI's taxonomy places the organism in Eukaryota, Viridiplantae, Streptophyta, Magnoliopsida, Lamiales, Oleaceae. The transcript has 3 exons. The record is from RefSeq and is a predicted model, not a curated record.
AUGACGGUGAGAUUCUCAUUAAAAAAAUCGAAUAUUUAAGAAAGGUCGAAAAAGAAAUCGAAUAUUUUUAAAAGUAGACGAGAAAAUAACCAAAAACCGUAAUAAAUCAGAUUCUUUGUCUGGCCUUUGUAGUUUCCUCUUUAAUCUCCGUCUAUACUUAGCUCACUGAAAUCUUUGAAUCUUCUCUCGAUUGCGAGUUGUAAUUUUCGCCUGUCAAGCGGUGCGUAGGGGUUUUGAUACUAAUUUAACAGUUAUCUAAAUUUUGAAGUCUUUCAGUGAGCAAAAGUUGAUAGUUGAUGGAGGACUGGGAGGAUGAGACAAUUCCAGAUCUUCUCAAAAAGGAGCAACUAAAGAGUAACCGGGAUGAUGAAGAUGUGGAUGAUAAUGAUGUGAAAGAAUCUUGGGAAGAUGAAGAUGAACCUGCACCGGUAUAUUUGCUGAUAGUUUAACUUUUUCACUAAGCUGGCUUACAUUAAAAUUUCAUUUAGAGAAAAAUAUGCAAUUUUGUUCUAGAUUAUGAAUGCUGUGUAUUUCUUCACU